AUCUCUUCUUGGCCUUUUGGCUGAGAUCAAGUGUAGUAUUUGCUCUUACCAGUUUAAUAACAUCUGUCCUUUAUACACACUGCUGCAGUUCCAGUUAUGUCUCAGCAGAGCUUGCCCUCACCAUUGACAUUCUAAUAGACGCAAUGCAUUUUUAUUAGCCCUAUC
Oryctolagus cuniculus (rabbit) is the source of this 165-nucleotide small nuclear RNA. Its record names the gene U2. It matches the Rfam family "U2 spliceosomal RNA". Rfam says of the family: U2 is a small nuclear RNA (snRNA) component of the spliceosome (involved in pre-mRNA splicing). Complementary binding between U2 snRNA (in an area lying towards the 5' end but 3' to hairpin I) and the branchpoint sequence (BPS) of the intron results the bulging out of an unpaired adenosine, on the BPS, which initiates a nucleophilic attack at the intronic 5' splice site, thus starting the first of two transesterification reactions that mediate splicing. NCBI's taxonomy places the organism in Eukaryota, Metazoa, Chordata, Mammalia, Lagomorpha, Leporidae. The record is from Ensembl.